AUGGCGAUUGCUGGUGGCCCCCUGGCCCCUGGCUCCCGGGCCAGCAUCUCCCAGGGGCCACCAACGGCUUCUCGCGCAGGCUGUGCCCUCUCUGCUGAGUCAAGCCGAACCUUGCUGGCGUGUGUGCUGUGGGUGCUGAAAAACGCCGAGCCAGCGCUCCUGCAGCGCUGGGCCACUGACCUGACACUCCCCCAGCUGGGACGUCUGUUGGACUUGCUGUACCUCUGCCUGGCUGCCUUUGAGUACAAGGGGAAAAAGGCCUUUGAACGCAUCAACAGCCUCACCUUCAAAAAAUCGCUGGAUAUGAAGGCGCGGCUAGAGGAAGCCAUCCUGGGCACCAUUGGAGCUCGACAAGAAAUGGUUCGGCGAAGUCGUGGUAAGAGGGUGACAUACCCACAUGUCCCCAUCCCACCAGCUGCUCCCACCUUGUGUCAAGGGGACCCCAUGAAGGGGGCCAUCCCUAGCUUCCUUUCUGCCUCACUUUUCCUGGAGAGAAGUCCACACGUCAUCACCACACACAUGCGCCUGUGCGUCCCCAUCUGUCACUCGUGUCUGCCCUGUGCGU
This 565-nucleotide small RNA is filed under the name Pongo abelii (Sumatran orangutan). RNAcentral describes it as "retained intron". The record is from RNAcentral. Lineage: Eukaryota; Metazoa; Chordata; Mammalia; Primates; Hominidae.